Molecule: ribosomal RNA, 301 nt
Filed under: uncultured bacterium
Lineage: Bacteria
Description: partial 16S ribosomal RNA
Rfam family: Bacterial small subunit ribosomal RNA
Source: RNAcentral
CAGUAGCCGCGGUAAUACGGAGGGUGCAAGCGUUAAUCGGAAUUACUGGGCGUAAAGCGCACGCAGGCGGUCUGUCAAGUCAGAUGUGAAAUCCCCGGGCUUAACCUGGGAACUGCAUUUGAAACUGGCAGGCUAGAGUCUUGUAGAGGGGGGUAGAAUUCCAGGUGUAGCGGUGAAAUGCGUAGAGAUCUGGAGGAAUACCGGUGGCGAAGGCGGCCCCCUGGACAAAGACUGACGCUCAGGUGCGAAAGCGUGGGGAGCAAACAGGAUUAGAGACCCGAGUAGUCCCUGUCUCUUAUAA